This 58-nucleotide transfer RNA is filed under the name Apaloderma vittatum (bar-tailed trogon). It matches the Rfam family "tRNA", at positions 9 to 63 of the family's 71-position model. Rfam says of the family: Transfer RNA (tRNA) molecules are approximately 80 nucleotides in length. Their secondary structure includes four short double-helical elements and three loops (D, anti-codon, and T loops). Further hydrogen bonds mediate the characteristic L-shaped molecular structure. tRNAs have two regions of fundamental functional importance: the anti-codon, which is responsible for specific mRNA codon recognition, and the 3' end, to which the tRNAs corresponding amino acid is attached (by aminoacyl-tRNA synthetases). tRNAs cope with the degeneracy of the genetic code in two manners: having more than one tRNA (with a specific anti-codon) for a particular amino acid; and 'wobble' base-pairing, i.e. permitting non-standard base-pairing at the 3rd anti-codon position. Lineage: Eukaryota; Metazoa; Chordata; Aves; Trogoniformes; Trogonidae. The record is from Rfam by way of RNAcentral.
AACUCAGUUGGUUAGAGCGUGGUGCUGAUAACACCAAGUUCGCGGGUUCGAUUCCCGU